This 285-nucleotide unclassified non-coding RNA is filed under the name Hevea brasiliensis (rubber tree). The record is from RNAcentral. Lineage: Eukaryota; Viridiplantae; Streptophyta; Magnoliopsida; Malpighiales; Euphorbiaceae.
AGUUAAAUAUAAAAAAAAAAAUCAGAUGACGAGACUAUUUUAUUAAUAAAAUCAAAUAAUAAUGACCAACUAACAUAUUUUAAAAAUAUAUAAAUUAAUUAUUAAAUAGUAAUUUUCCUUAUACUAACGUAUACAUGCUCAUUCUUUCUCUUCUUUUCUGCUUUCCUCUCUUUCCCUUUACUCCAUUAGAUAUCUUCCAUUGCUUUCCCUUUACUCCAUUAGAUCUCUUCCUUGGCAGGCCAUGAGUGAGUUUCUGACAAGUGGUUACCUCAAAAUUGUUUUUUU